ACUGCUCAGUAACACGUAGUCAACAUGCCCAGGGGACGUGGAUAACCUCGGGAAACUGAGGAUAAACCGCGAUAGGCCAAGAUUUCUGGAAUGAAUCAUGGUUUAAAUCUAUAUGGCCCCUGGAUUGGACUGCGGCCGAUCAGGCUGUUGGUGAGGUAAUGGCCCACCAAACCUGUAACCGGUACGGGCUCUGAGAGGAGGAGCCCGGAGGUGGGCACUUAGACAAGGGCCCAGGCCCUAUGGGGCGCAGCAGGCGCGAAACCUCUGCAAUAAGCGAAAGCUUGACAGGGUUACUCUGAGUGAUUUCCGCUAAGGAAGUCUUUUGGCACCUCUAAAAAUGGUGCAGAAUAAGGGGUGGGCAAGUCUGGUGUCAGCCGCCGCGGUAAUACCAGCACCCCGAGUGGUCGGGACGAUUAUUGGGCCUAAAGCAUCCGUAGCCGGUCCUGCAAGUCCUCCGUUAAAUCCACCCGCUCAACGGUUGGGCCGCGGGGGAUACUACAGGGCUAGGAGGCGGGAGAGGCAAGCGGUACUCGAUGGGUAGGGGUAAAAUCCACUGAUCCAUUGAAGACCACCAGUGGCGAAGGCGGCUUGCCAGAACGCGCUCGACGGUGAGGGAUGAAAGCUGGGGGAGCAAACCGGAUUAGAUACCCGGGUAGUCCCAGCUGUAAACGAUGCAGACUCGGUGAUGGGCUGGCUUCGUGCCAACCCGGUGCCGCAGGGAAGCCGUUAAGUCUGCCGCCUGGGGAGUACGGUCGCAAGACUGAAACCUAAAGGAAUUGGCGGGGGAGCA
This 790-nucleotide ribosomal RNA is filed under the name uncultured archaeon. RNAcentral's name for it is "bacterial SSU rRNA". It matches the Rfam family "Archaeal small subunit ribosomal RNA", at positions 85 to 878 of the family's 1478-position model. The record is from RNAcentral.